This 497-nucleotide ribosomal RNA is filed under the name uncultured bacterium. Its description in RNAcentral is "partial 16S ribosomal RNA". It matches the Rfam family "Bacterial small subunit ribosomal RNA", at positions 28 to 507 of the family's 1533-position model. The record is from RNAcentral.
GACGAACGCUGGCGGCGUGCCUAAUACAUGCAAGUUGAGCGCUGAAGGUUGGUACUUGUACCAACUGGAUGAGCAGCGAACGGGUGAGUAACGCGUGGGGAAUCUGCCCUUGAGCGGGGGACAACAUUUGGAAACGAAUGCUAAUACCGCAUAAAAACUUUAAACACAAGUUUUAAGUUUGAAAGAUGCAAUUGCAUCACUCAAAGAUGAUCCCGCGUUGUAUUAGCUAGUUGGUGAGGUAAAGGCUCACCAAGGCGAUGAGACAUAGCCGACCUGAGAGGGUGAUCGGCCACAUUGGGACUGAGACACGGCCCAAACUCCUACGGGAGGCAGCAGUAGGGAAUCUUCGGCAAUGGACGAAAGUCUGACCGAGCAACGCCGCGUGAGUGAAGAAGGUUUUCGGAUCGUAAAACUCUGUUGGUAGAGAAGAACGUUGGUGAGAGUGGAAAGCUCAUCAAGUGACGGUAACUACCCAGAAAGGGACGGCUAACUACGUG